Molecule: ribosomal RNA, 497 nt
Filed under: uncultured bacterium
Lineage: Bacteria
Description: partial 16S ribosomal RNA
Rfam family: Bacterial small subunit ribosomal RNA
Source: RNAcentral
GAUGAACGCUGGCGGCGUGCCUAAUACAUGCAAGUCGAGCGAACAGACGAGGAGCUUGCUCCUCUGACGUUAGCGGCGGACGGGUGAGUAACACGUGGAUAACCUACCUAUAAGACUGGGAUAACUUCGGGAAACCGGAGCUAAUACCGGAUAACAUGUUGAACCGCAUGGUUCAACAGUGAAAGACGGUCUUGCUGUCACUUAUAGAUGGAUCCGCGCCGCAUUAGCUAGUUGGUAAGGUAACGGCUUACCAAGGCAACGAUGCGUAGCCGACCUGAGAGGGGCGGGCCCCACAGGGGAUCUGCGACCGGCCCCGCCCCCCGCCGGGGGGCGCCAGGGGGGAUCCUCCCGCAAUGGCCGAAGCCCUGAGGGACCACCCCGGGGGGGGGGAGGAUGUUCUCCGGUUCGUAAACUUUUUUUUUUGGGAAAAAAAAAUGUGUUAAGAACCUUUCCCGGUCUUCCCGGUCCCUAACCAAAAGCCCCCGCCUAACUCCGCC